AUGGAGUGCAAGGCGGCGAGGGAGCCGUCCUCGUCCGCCCCCUCUUCUUCCAUGGACAGCUGUGGCGCCGGCGGGCCGCGGGCGACGGUCUCCACGGCGUCGUCCUUCUACCGGCCGGCGAUCGACAGGGGCCUAAGCACGGACCUUCACCUCGGGCUCAGCCUGCGGUCGUGCUCCUCCUCCUUCCACGCAGCUGACGGCGUCUCCGCUUCCACUCCAAGGUCUCUGCAGGCUCGUGAUUUUAUCUCAGAAAUUAAACUUCUUGUUCAUCAUUUUGCAUCGGUCGAUCUCUGGCUCUCUGCACAUAAACCGACGCAUCCAACCUGCCGUCUUCUUAGGAGCGCCCUGACAACAACGGCGGGUCCGGCGUAUGAGACAGGCGGCGGCGGCGGCAGCCAUGGGCAGCAGUUGCUGUUUGUGAAGGUGUACAUGGAGGGCGUCCCCAUCGGCCGGAAGCUGGAUCUGCUGCUGCUGGACGGCUACGACGACCUCCUCGCUAUCCUAGGCCGCAUGUUCAAGGCCUCCAUCAUACAUCCGGAUACUAUCGGCCGUGAUCACCGAGUGGUUCUUGGGGAGAAGCAGGCUCGCCAUGUUGUCACUUAUCAAGACCAGGAGGGGGACUGGUUGAUGGCCGGCGACCUGCCGUGGGCGCUAUUCCUGGCGAGUGUGAAGAAAUUGAAGAUUGCAAGGGUGGAUAGUAGCAUCUCGGAUUGA
This 714-nucleotide ribosomal RNA is filed under the name Triticum aestivum (bread wheat). RNAcentral's name for it is "partial small subunit ribosomal RNA". Lineage: Eukaryota; Viridiplantae; Streptophyta; Magnoliopsida; Poales; Poaceae. The record is from RNAcentral.